CUGAGCGGCGGACGGGGGAGUAACGCGUGGGUAACCUGCUCAUACAGGGGAUAACAGUUGGAAACGGCUGCUAAUACCGCAUAAGCGCACAGUACCGCAUGGUACGGUGUGAAAAACUCCGGUGGUAUGAGAUGGACCCGCGUCUGAUUAGGUAGUUGGUGGGGUAACGGCCUACCAAGCCGACGAUCAGUAGCCGACCUGAGAGGGUGACCGGCCACAUUGGGACUGAGACACGGCCCAA
This 241-nucleotide ribosomal RNA is filed under the name uncultured bacterium. RNAcentral describes it as "partial 16S ribosomal RNA". It matches the Rfam family "Bacterial small subunit ribosomal RNA", at positions 91 to 334 of the family's 1533-position model. The record is from RNAcentral.